Molecule: ribosomal RNA, 486 nt
Filed under: uncultured bacterium
Lineage: Bacteria
Description: partial 16S ribosomal RNA
Rfam family: Bacterial small subunit ribosomal RNA
Source: RNAcentral
GACGAACGCUGGCGGCGUGCUUAACACAUGCAAGUCGAACGCUGAAGACCUGGCUUUUGUUGGGUUGGAUGAGUGGCGAACGGGUGAGUAACACGUGAGUAACCUGCCCUCUUCUUUGGGAUAACGCCCGGAAACGGGUGCUAAUACUGGAUAUUCACUGAUCUUCGCAUGGGGGUUGGUGGAAAGGUUUGUUCUGGUGGGGGAUGGGCUCGCGGCCUAUCAGCUUGUUGGUGGGGUGAUGGCCUACCAAGGCUUUGACGGGUAGCCGGCCGGAGAGGGUGACCGGUCACAUUGGGACUGAGCUACGGCCCAGACUCCUACGGGAGGCAGCAGUGGGGAAUAUUGCACAAUGGGCGAAAGCCUGAUGCAGCGACGCCGCGUGAGGGAUGGAGGCCUUCGGGUUGUAAACCUCUUUCGCUCAUGGUCAAGCCGCAACUGUGGGUUGUGGUGAGGGUAGUGGGUAAAGAAGCGCCGGCUAACUACGUG